AAUAGAUACCCUGGUAGUCCACCCCGUAAACGUUGGGAACUAGUUGUGGGGUCCUUUCCACGGAUUCCGUGACGCAGCUAACGCAUUAAGUUCCCCGCCUGGGGAGUACGGCCGCAAGGCUAAAACUCAAAGGAAUUGACGGGGACCCGCACAAGCGGCGGAGCAUGCGGAUUAAUUCGAUGCAACGCGAAGAACCUUACCAAGGCUUGACAUACACGAGAACACCCUAGAAAUAGGGGACUCUUUGGACACUCGUGAACAGGUGGUGCAUGGUUGUCGUCAGCUCGUGUCGUGAGAUGUUGGGUUAAGUCCCGCAACGAGCGACAACCCUCGUUCUAUGUUGCCAGCACGUUAUGGUGGGAACUCAUGGGAUACUGCCGGGGUCAACUCGGAGGAAGGUGGGGAUGACGUCGAAAUCAUCAUGCCCCUUAUGUCUUGGGCUUCACGCAUGCUACAAUGGCCGGUACAAAGGGCUGCAAUACCGUGAGGUGGAGCGAAUCCCAAAAAGCCGGUCCCAGUUCGGAUUGAGGUCUGCAACUCGACCUC
This 546-nucleotide ribosomal RNA is filed under the name uncultured bacterium. Its description in RNAcentral is "bacterial SSU rRNA". It matches the Rfam family "Bacterial small subunit ribosomal RNA", at positions 777 to 1319 of the family's 1533-position model. The record is from RNAcentral.